AUUGAACGCUGGCGGCAUGCUUUACACAUGCAAGUCGAACGGUAACAGGCCGCAAGGUGCUGACGAGCGGCGAACGGGGGCGUAAUGCAUCGGGACGUGCCCAGUCGUGGGGGAUAACUACUCGCAAGAGUAGCUAAUACCGCAUACGAUCUAUGGAUGAAAGCGGGGGACCGUAAGGCCUCGCGCGAUUGGAGCGGCCGAUGUCAGAUUAGGUAGUUGGUGGGGUAAAGGCUCACCAAGCCAACGAUCUGUAGCUGGUCUGAGAGGACGACCAGCCACACUGGGACUGAGACACGGCCCAGACUCCUACGGGAGGCAGCAGUGGGGAAUUUUGGACAAUGGGCGCAAGCCUGAUCCAGCAAUGCCGCGUGCAGGAAGAAGGCCUUCGGGUUGUAAACUGCUUUUGUACGGAACGAAACGGCUCUGGUUAAUACCCGGGGCUAAUGACGGUACCGUAAGAAUAAGCACCGGCUAACUACGUG
This 482-nucleotide ribosomal RNA is filed under the name uncultured bacterium. RNAcentral's name for it is "partial 16S ribosomal RNA". It matches the Rfam family "Bacterial small subunit ribosomal RNA", at positions 30 to 507 of the family's 1533-position model. The record is from RNAcentral.